Molecule: non-coding RNA, 105 nt
Organism: Myotis davidii
Lineage: Eukaryota; Metazoa; Chordata; Mammalia; Chiroptera; Vespertilionidae
Source: Rfam
AGCCACUUUUAAAGUCAUCUUUGUAAUGUGGCUACAUUGAGACACAGGUUAUGCUUCCAUCGCAGUAAUCUUAUUACAGUGGUGACAAUGAGACCUGUAACAUUU